AGCGGCAGACGGGUGAGUAACGCGUGGGAAUCUACCUUAAGCUACGGGAUAACAGAGAGAAAUUUCUGCUAAUACCGUAUGUGGCCUAUGGGCGAAAGAUUUAUCGGCUUAAGAUGAGCCCGCGUUGGAUUAGCUAGUUGGUGGGGUAAAGGCCUACCAAGGCGACGAUCCAUAGCUGGUCUGAGAGGAUGAUCAGCCACACUGGGACUGAGACACGGCCCAGACUCCUGCGGGAGGCAGCAGUGGGGAAUAUUGGACAAUGGGCGGAAGCCUGAUCCAGCCAUGCCGCGUGAGUGAAGAAGGCCUUAGGGUUGUAAAGCUCUUUCACCGGUGAAGAUAAUGACGGUAACCGGAGAAGAAGCCCCGGCUAACUUCGUGCCAGCAGCCGCAGUAAUACGAAGGGGGCUAGCGUUGUUCGGAUUUACUGGGCGUAAAGCGCGCGUAGGCGGAUAGAUAAGUCAGAGGUGAAAUCCCGGGGCUCAACCCCGGAAUUGCCUUUGAUACUGUUUAUCUUGAGUGCAGAAGAGGUAAGUGGAAUUCCGAGUGUAGAGGUGAAAUUCGUAGAUAUUCGGAGGAACACCAGUGGCGAAGGCGGCUUACUGGUCUGCAACUGACGCUGAGGCGCGAAAGCGUGGGGAGCAAACAGGAUUAGAUACCCUGGUAGUCCACGCCGUAAACGAUGGAAGCCAGCCGUUGGCAGAUUUAUCUGUCGGUGGCGCAGCUAACGCAUUAAGCUUCCCGCC
This 743-nucleotide ribosomal RNA is filed under the name uncultured Hyphomicrobiales bacterium. RNAcentral's name for it is "bacterial SSU rRNA". It matches the Rfam family "Bacterial small subunit ribosomal RNA", at positions 94 to 873 of the family's 1533-position model. The record is from RNAcentral. Lineage: Bacteria; Pseudomonadati; Pseudomonadota; Alphaproteobacteria; Hyphomicrobiales.